Molecule: ribosomal RNA, 275 nt
Filed under: uncultured bacterium
Lineage: Bacteria
Description: partial 16S ribosomal RNA
Rfam family: Bacterial small subunit ribosomal RNA
Source: RNAcentral
GCGUGAGUGAUGAAGGCCUUAGGGUUGUAAAGCUCUUUCGCACGCGACGAUAAUGACGGUAGCGUGAGAAGAAGCCCCGGCUAACUUCGUGCCAGCAGCCGCGCUAAUACGAAGGGGGCUAGCGUUCUUCGGAAUCACUGGGCGUAAAGGGUGCGCAGGCGGGUUCAUAAGUCAGGGGUGAAAUCCCGAGGCUCAUCCUCGGAACUGCCUUUGAUACUGUGGAUCUUGAGUCCGGAAGAGGUGAGUGGAACUGCGAGUGUAGAGGUGAAAUUCGU